This 470-nucleotide ribosomal RNA is filed under the name uncultured bacterium. RNAcentral describes it as "bacterial SSU rRNA". It matches the Rfam family "Bacterial small subunit ribosomal RNA", at positions 355 to 823 of the family's 1533-position model. The record is from RNAcentral.
UUGGGAAUUUUGGACAAUGGGGGCAACCCUGAUCCAGCCAUGCCGCGUGAGUGAAGAAGGCCUUCGGGUUGUAAAGCUCUUUCGGCGGGGACGAAACGGUCCGUGACAACACCACGGACUAAUGACAGUACUCGCAGAAGAAGCACCGGCUAACUACGUGCCAGCAGCCGCGGUAAUACGUAGGGUGCAGGCGUUAAUCGGAAUUACUGGGCGUAAAGCGUGCGCAGGUGGCUCCUUAAGUCAGAUGUGAAAUCCCCGGGCUUAACCUGGGAACUGCGUUUGAAACUGAGGAGCUAGAGUGUGGAAGAGGGGGGUGGAAUUCCAGGUGUAGCGGUGAAAUGCGUAGAUAUCAAGAGGAACACCUGAGGUGAAGACGGGUUGCUGGGCUGACACUGACGCUGAGGCGCGAAAGCCAGGGGAGCAAACGGGAUUAGAUACCCCGGUAGUCCCUGAGCGGGCUGGCAAGGCGC